CCUACGGGAGGCAGCAGUGAGGAAUAUUGGUCAAUGGGCGCGAGCCUGAACCAGCCAAGUCGCGUGAGGGAAGACGGUCCUAUGGAUUGUAAACCUCUUUUGUCGGGGAGCAAAAGACGCCACGCGUGGCGUUCCGAGAGUACCCGAAGAAAAAGCAUCGGCUAACUCCGUGCCAGCAGCCGCGGUAAUACGGAGGAUGCGAGCGUUAUCCGGAUUUAUUGGGUUUAAAGGGUGCGCAGGCGGAAGAUCAAGUCAGCGGUAAAAUUGAGAGGCUCAACCUCUUCGAGCCGUUGAAACUGGUUGUCUUGAGUGAGUGAGAAGUAUGCGGAAUGCGUGGUGUAGCGGUGAAAUGCAUAGAUAUCACGCAGAACUCCGAUUGCGAAGGCAGCAUACCGGCGCGCAACUGACGCUGAUGCACGAAAGUGUGGGUAUCGAACAGGAUUAGAUACCCGGGUAGUC
RNAcentral lists this ribosomal RNA (459 nucleotides) under uncultured bacterium. Its description in RNAcentral is "partial 16S ribosomal RNA". It matches the Rfam family "Bacterial small subunit ribosomal RNA", at positions 338 to 795 of the family's 1533-position model. The record is from RNAcentral.